UACGGGGGGAGCAAGCGUUGUUCGGAUUUACUGGGCGUAAAGGGCGCGUAGGCGGUAGCACAAGUCAGUUGUGAAAUCUCCGGGCUUAACUCGGAAAGGUCAACUGAUACUGUGCGACUAGAGUGCAGAAGGGGCAACUGGAAUUCUCGGUGUAGCGGUGAAAUGCGUAGAUAUCGAGAGGAACACCUGCGGCGAAGGCGGGUUGCUGGGCUGACACUGACGCUGAUGUGCGAAAGCUAGGGGAGCGAACGGG
This 253-nucleotide ribosomal RNA is filed under the name uncultured bacterium. RNAcentral's name for it is "partial 16S ribosomal RNA". It matches the Rfam family "Bacterial small subunit ribosomal RNA", at positions 524 to 776 of the family's 1533-position model. The record is from RNAcentral.